Molecule: ribosomal RNA, 460 nt
Filed under: uncultured bacterium
Lineage: Bacteria
Description: partial 16S ribosomal RNA
Rfam family: Bacterial small subunit ribosomal RNA
Source: RNAcentral
CCUACGGGAGGCAGCAGUGAGGAAUAUUGGUCAAUGGGCGCGAGCCUGAACCCGCCAAGUAGCGUGACGGCUGACUGCCCUACGGGUUGUAAACUUCUUUUAUAAAGGAGUAAAGUGAGGCACGUGUGCCUUUUUGUAUGUACUUUAUGAAUAAGGAUCGGCUAACUCCGUGCCAACAGCCGCGGUAAUACGGAGGAUCCGAGCGUUAUCCGGAUUUAUUGGGUUUAAAGGGAGCGUAGAUGGGUUGAUAAGUUAGUUGUGAAAGUUUGCGGCUCAACCGUAAAAUUGCAAUUGAUACUGGCAGUCUUGAGUACAGUUGAGGUAGGCGGAAUGUGUGGUGUAGCGGUGAAAUGCUUAGAUAUCACGAAGAACUCCGAUUGCGAAGGCAGCUUACUAAACUGCCACUGACAUUGAUGCUCGAAAGUGUGGGUAUCAAACAGGAUUAGAUACCCUUGUAGUC